CCUACGGGUGGCAGCAGUGAGGAAUAUUGGUCAAUGGCCGGAAGGCUGAACCAGCCAAGCCGCGUGAAGGACGACGGUCCUAAGCAUUGUAAACUUCUUUUGUCGAGGGACAAAAUGAGGCACGUGAGCCUGACUGAGGGUACCUGAAGAAAAAGCAUCGGCUAACUCCGUGCCAGCAGCCGCGGUAAUACGGAGGAUGCGAGCGUUAUCCGGAUUUAUUGGGUUUAAAGGGUGCGUAGGCGGGCGGUUAAGUCAGCGGUAAAAGCCCGGGGCUCAACCCCGGAGUGCCGUUGAAACUGGAUGCCUUGAGUGGGCGAGAGGUAUGCGGAAUGCGCGGUGUAGCGGUGAAAUGCUUAGAUAUUGCGCAGAACUCCGAUUGCGAAGGCAGCAUACCGGCGGGCAACUGACGCUGAGGCACGAAAGCGUGGGUAUCGAACAGGAUUAGAUACCCGAGUAGUC
Molecule: ribosomal RNA, 459 nt
Filed under: uncultured bacterium
Lineage: Bacteria
Description: partial 16S ribosomal RNA
Rfam family: Bacterial small subunit ribosomal RNA
Source: RNAcentral